This 27-nucleotide non-coding RNA is filed under the name Homo sapiens (human). The record is from RNAcentral. Lineage: Eukaryota; Metazoa; Chordata; Mammalia; Primates; Hominidae.
UGACGAGAGCCAAGGGCAAGGAUGGAC